UACGUAGGGGGCAAGCGUUGUCCGGAAUCAUUGGGCGUAAAGAGCGUGUAGGCGGCCCGAUAAGUCCGCUGUGAAAGUCCAGGGCUCAACCCUGGGAUGCCGGUGGAUACUGUCGGGCUCGAGUCCGGAAGAGGAGUGUGGAAUUCCUGGUGUAGCGGUGAAAUGCGUAGAUAUCUGGAGGAACACCGGUGGCGAAGGCGGCAUCCUGGACCGGCAUUGACGCUGAGGCGCGAAAGCCAGGGGAGCAAACGGG
Molecule: ribosomal RNA, 253 nt
Filed under: uncultured bacterium
Lineage: Bacteria
Description: partial 16S ribosomal RNA
Rfam family: Bacterial small subunit ribosomal RNA
Source: RNAcentral